GUUUGCUUUAUCUUUAUCUUGCUUGAAACUUGCAGGGCUUUCAGGCACAGGAGUGGGCAUGGAAGAGCAAACCUAUCAGGCUGAUGGAGCAUAAUUUUGGAUUCUGAAGCAAGAUGCCAGCUAAAGCUUGUGUCCUUGAUGAGAGAAGGUCGAUGAGUGGUAUAAAAAUGGUUAAAGCGGCAAAAUGGAUGGUAGAGAAUGUAUGCUAACAAGAGCAGAAGUCUGAGGAGUGGAAGCUGUGCUGUGCACAUCCUAUGUGAUAUGUAAUGGCUACGUUGUCCACUUUGAGCUUCACCCUUGACCAUGUCGAUACAAUUUCAGCAACACUUGAAUGGAAAAUUUUCACCAGAAAGUUAACAAAAUCUCCAAAUAAUUAUCAGAUUAGAAUUUUUCUCGGUAACUACUUGUGAGGUGGAAAUCUGAAGGAUAACUCACUAGGCGAUCCACCCCAUUCUCCAACAAGCAUAUGGUCGAAGCUUUUUAACGAGAAAAGUGAAAACCUCCUGAAACUGCAUCAAAAGAUUAAAAAACCCCAAAUUAUAUCCAUGAAAUCGGUUGAACUUGAAGAACAACAAGAAAAGCUCAGAACAAUAGUUAAUGACUGCAGAUUAAACUUAGCAAAAGAUACAUAUAGAUCCCCAUCGACAUUUCAUGCAUGUCCGAUUCGUGUAUUUGCUGAGCCAUUAGAGCAUUCCAGUUUUUCACCACUAAAUUGGGUAUUGCUGCAAUUUCCAAGUUUGUUUCUGUUCUUUCUUAUGGUUGCAGCGAAAUAUCCAGACUGAAUCAGUCAGAAGAAAUAUUAACAGACAACUUUCUUUGUUUGGUCAUGGAUCUAAUCCUCCAGAAAUGCCAUUGGAGGGAGAGCAACAGAAGGCCUUUGGUCACGUUAUCUCAUUGUUCAUGGAACUAUCAGUGUGCGCUGAUGUGCGAUUUGCUCCAGCAGCUGGAUUUCAUAUAUUCUCUGCAAGACAUGAAUAGUAUGCCAUGCAAAUUUUUUAAGAACAUCACACUUAUAACCUCUUUUACUUCCCUCGGUGAUGGUCUGGCGAUGUUUCUCAUUUUGGAUGAAGUAUUGGCAAACAUUGACCAUAGAAAGAACUAUUUAUCUCGUUUUUACAAGGCAAUAUCAAGAAAAGCUGCACUGCGCGAGAUGAUUAGAGAUUAUAGGCAAGCAGUUAAGGAUCUUCCAAGGCUUAUUCCUAUCCUUGAAAAGCAAGCUCAUGAUAAACACAAUCAGUCUAGGAGUCUAGCCAGACCAGUUAGUUAGUCCUGUGAAUGAUCUAACAGAAGCUCGUCCGCAACUUUCCUCCAUAGAGGAAGAAGCCAAAAAAGCAGUCCCCUAAGAUAUGUAUCUGAUCUCGCUUGGAAAUUCUUAGCAAGAAGUGAGAAUGGAAAUGAUGCACUCUGGAAAGAUAUUGCUGAAGAAGUCUACAAGGAUGCUGACAGGCUUAUUAAGAUGAUUGUAUGCGAUACUUCCAGACCCUACCAAGCGGUCACAUUACGAUCUAGAAGAGACUGCGAACUCCCAGAAGAGAGGCAACAGAAGCAGCACAAUUAAAGAACGCCUUCUUCUUCAACAGAUGUUACCCAUUUGAAAGAAGUGGCAGUAGUAGGAGACAGUAGCAGGAGGUGCGAAGAAAAUGAUCUUAUAAAUGUGAGAAGCUGAACAAGAAUGAGCAUUAGCAUAUUUAUCCGAACGCCGUCAUUCCUUAUUAUACAGACAGCAAUGACAGUAACAAAUGAAGUGCGCUGAACUGUAUAAGGUAUGCAGGUUGAGAGUGGGAGUCUUCUGACUCAGGUAUUACGAACCUGGUUUUACUUGCGUCCUUCAAAUAAAACUUUCUUUGGUUAUGUGAAGAAUAUAACCAAAUUCAUGUUGCAAGCUGAUUCCGAAGGUCUAUUCCUGUUGUAUUGUUACGUAUUAUCAACUCACAAGCCAGUGCCAUUGCAAAGAAUGACUCCACUAUCCGCACCUCUUAAGGUGUUUGCUAUCUAAUAAAUUGUCACCAAAUCUGCAACCUUUUUAGUAAAACUUGCAUGUAUCUGAAAUAUUUAGCAUUUUGGCUUAGCAAAGUAUCAAAGUUUUUACAUUUCUGUAAGCUCUCUAUGAUGACAAGUUCUUUUCCUCAAAAUUAAGAGCACUAUACUUUUAUUUGAAAACAUAAGCUGAAACUUCCUAUAUUGUGGGAACGGUUUGGAUUCCUCGAAUGUAAGCACAUGAAGCACGUGCCAGUGUGGACUGGGUAUAUGCCAUUAAAAUAUAGUGAUAAGGAUAAUUUAUUGUUUGAGGUUUGAGGUUUGGCAAUACUUUCUUACCAGGGCUCAUUUUACAGGCUCUUUACAGUCGACGGUGUUGGAGGUUUUGAAAAAUUGGAAAAGCUGUCAUCUAUCUAACCAAGCUAAGGAACUUUGGGACAGGUUACCUGCUAGCAUCACUGGGAGUUUAUGAAAGGAAUGCAAUGCUUGCACCUUUGAAGUGAAACAGAAACCAAGUGAAGCUAUCAUAUCUGAGAUAAAAAUUCAGACUAUUCAUCAGGCUUCCAUUCAUCGGUCUAUACAACAGGGUGUUGCAAUUCAUGAUGGGAUAGUUAACUGGAGUCGCAAGUUUUUUGAUCCUUGUUGAUUUUCCUGCAAUUUUCGCUUUUGUGUUUGAGGGUGGAUCUCGUUUAGACCCAGUGACUUCUCUUUCAAUAAUUGGAGAUCUGGGUUGUAUAUUCGUUUCUAUAAAUACAAAUUUGUCAUUA
Molecule: long non-coding RNA, 2744 nt
Organism: Papaver somniferum (opium poppy)
Lineage: Eukaryota; Viridiplantae; Streptophyta; Magnoliopsida; Ranunculales; Papaveraceae
Exons: 7
Source: RefSeq, a predicted model, not a curated record